Phlebotomus papatasi is the source of this 469-nucleotide long non-coding RNA. RefSeq lists it as uncharacterized. The transcript is spliced from 2 exons. NCBI's taxonomy places the organism in Eukaryota, Metazoa, Arthropoda, Insecta, Diptera, Psychodidae. The record is from RefSeq and is a predicted model, not a curated record.
CUUAAUAGUACAUACUUUGCGCUCAGUGAGUGGUUAUUCAUCGUGGGUGGUAGACAGCAUUACUGAUUUGUGCGACAACAUUGCACAUUAUUUAAUACUACCUAUAGGGCAGAAAGCCAUGAUUUUUAUUAGUCUGAGUAAAAUCUCCCCUGCAGUUCGGUAAAUGAUUUUUCUCGAUUACUAACAGAUUCAUCAUGUGUCUCGUGGUUGGUGGUGAAAAAUUCUUUCUCAGUCAGAAUUUUCAAAGCAAAUGCAUAUAAAAAAAAUAAAUAAAAGAUUCCUAAUCGAUUUUGUUGUAUUAAAACUAUUGAGUUAAAUUAAGUGUUAUGACCUGGAUUUGAACUCACGAAAUCAUGCACCCGGACUCUACUACUGUCAAUGUAAGCUCUAUGAGAAACUAUCGAGCCUCUCUAUCGCUAUGUCAAGCCAACAAAGGGGCAACUCAUUCAGAAAUUGUUGUGUUAGAUGU